Molecule: ribosomal RNA, 460 nt
Filed under: uncultured bacterium
Lineage: Bacteria
Description: partial 16S ribosomal RNA
Rfam family: Bacterial small subunit ribosomal RNA
Source: RNAcentral
CCUACGGGAGGCAGCAGUGAGGAAUAUUGGUCAAUGGCCGGAAGGCUGAACCAGCCAUGCCGCGUGAAGGUCGGUGCCCUAUGGGCGUUAAACUUCUUUUGUGCGGGAGCAAUAAUGGUCACGUGUGGCCAGACGAGAGUACCGUACGAAUAAGCAUCGGCAAACUCCGUGCAAGCAGCGGCGGUAAUAAGGGGGAUGCAAGCGUUAUCUGGAUUUAUUGGGUUUAAAGGGUGCGUAGGCUGUGAGGUAAGUCAGCGGUGAAAUGCCCCCGCUCAACGGGGUGAAGUGCCAUUGAUACUGCCUUGCGGGAAUGCGGAUGCCGUGGGAGGAAUGUGUGGUGUAGCGGUGAAAUGCAUAGAUAUCACACAGAACACCGAUUGCGAAGGCAUCUCACGAAUCCGCGAUUGACGCUGAUGCACGAAAGCGUGGGUAUCAAACAGGAUUAGAUACCCUUGUAGUC